This 397-nucleotide ribosomal RNA is filed under the name uncultured bacterium. RNAcentral's name for it is "partial 16S ribosomal RNA". It matches the Rfam family "Bacterial small subunit ribosomal RNA", at positions 523 to 918 of the family's 1533-position model. The record is from RNAcentral.
AUACGUAGGGGGCGAGCGUUGUCCGGAAUGAUUGGGCGUAAAGGGCGCGUAGGCGGCUUUGCAAGUCAGUAGUGGAAGUCCAUUUUUCAAGGAUGGAAGUGCUACAGAAACUGCGGAGCUUGAGUGUAGGAGAGGUUAUCGGAAUUCCCGGUGUAGCGGUGAAAUGCGUAGAGAUCGGGAGGAACACCAGUGGCGAAGGCGGGUAACUGGACUGCAACUGACGCUGAGGCGCGAAAGUGUGGGGAGCAAACAGGAUUAGAUACCCUGGUAGUCCACACUGUAAACGAUGAAUGCUAGGUGUAGGAGGUAUCGACCCCUUCUGUGCCGCAGUAAACACAGUAAGCAUUCCGCCUGGGGAGUACGGUCGCAAGAUUAAAACUCAAAGGAAUUGACGGGG